This 492-nucleotide ribosomal RNA is filed under the name uncultured bacterium. RNAcentral's name for it is "partial 16S ribosomal RNA". It matches the Rfam family "Bacterial small subunit ribosomal RNA", at positions 29 to 507 of the family's 1533-position model. The record is from RNAcentral.
AGUGAACGCUGGCGGUAGGCCUAACACAUGCCAGUCGAACGGCAGCACAGUAAGAGCUUGCUCUUACGGGUGGCGAGUGGCGGACGGGUGAGGAGUACAUCGGAAUCUACUUUUUCGUGGGGGAUAACGUAGGGAAACUUACGCUAAUACCGCAUACGACCUACGGGUGAAAGCAGGGGAUCUUCGGACCUUGCGCGAUUGAAUGAGCCGAUGUCGGAUUAGCUAGUUGGCGGGGUAAAGGCCCACCAAGGCGACGAUCCGUAGCUGGUCUGAGAGGAUGAUCAGCCACACUGGAACUGAGACACGGUCCAGACUCCUACGGGAGGCAGCAGUGGGGAAUAUUGGACAAUGGGCGCAAGCCUGAUCCAGCCAUACCGCGUGGGUGAAGAAGGCCUUCGGGUUGUAAAGCCCUUGUGCUGGGAAAGAAAAGCAGCAGGUUAAUACCCCGCUGUUCUGACGGUACCCAAAGAAUAAGCACCGGCUAACUUCGUG